GACGAACGCUGGCGGCGUGCCUAAUACAUGCAAGUAGAACGCUGAAGGAGGAGCUUGCUCUUCUGGAUGAGUUGCGAACGGGUGAGUAACGCGUAGGUAACCUGCCUGGUAGCGGGGGAUAACUAUUGGAAACGAUAGCUAAUACCGCAUAAGAGUAGAUGUUGCAUGACAUUUGCUUAAAAGGUGCAAUUGCACCACUACCAGAUGGACCUGCGUUGUAUUAGCUAGUUGGUGGGGUAACGGCUCACCAAGGCGACGAUACAUAGCCGACCUGAGAGGGUGAUCGGCCACACUGGGACUGAGACACGGCCCAGACUCCUACGGGAGGCAGCAGUAGGGAAUCUUCGGCAAUGGACGGAAGUCUGACCGAGCAACGCCGCGUGAGUGAAGAAGGUUUUCGGAUCGUAAAGCUCUGUUGUAAGAGAAGAACGAGUGUGAGAGUGGAAAGUUCACACUGUGACGGUAGCUUACCAGAAAGGGACGGCUAACUACGUGCCAGCAGCCGCGGUAAUACGUAGGUCCCGAGCGUUGUCCGGAUUUAUUGGGCGUAAAGCGAGCGCAGGCGGUUUGAUAAGUCUGAAGUUAAAGGCUGUGGCUCAACCAUAGUUUGCUUUGGAAACUGUCAAACUUGAGUGCAGAAGGGGAGAGUGGAAUUCCAUGUGUAGCGGUGAAAUGCGUAGAUAUAUGGAGGAACACCGGUGGCGAAAGCGGCUCUCUGGUCUGUAACUGACGCUGAGGCUCGAAAGCGUGGGGAGCGAACAGG
Molecule: ribosomal RNA, 763 nt
Filed under: uncultured Streptococcus sp.
Lineage: Bacteria; Bacillati; Bacillota; Bacilli; Lactobacillales; Streptococcaceae
Description: bacterial SSU rRNA
Rfam family: Bacterial small subunit ribosomal RNA
Source: RNAcentral